UCCUACGGGGGGCAGCAGUGGGGGAUAUUGCACAAUGGGGGGAACCCUGAUGCAGCGACGCCGCGUGGGUGAAGGAGCGUUUCGGCGCGUAAAGCCCUAUCGGCAGGGAAGAAGAUGACGGUACCUGACCAAGAAGCCCCGGCUAACUACGUGCCAGCAACCGCGGUAAUACGGAGGGUGCGAGCGUUAAUCGGAAUUACUGGGCGUAAAGCGCUCGCAGGCGGGAUGUCAAGUCAAGGGGGAAAUCCCCGCGCUCAACGUGGGAACUGCCUUUGGAACUGGCAAACUGGAGUGUGUGAGAGGAU
Molecule: ribosomal RNA, 305 nt
Filed under: uncultured bacterium
Lineage: Bacteria
Description: bacterial SSU rRNA
Rfam family: Bacterial small subunit ribosomal RNA
Source: RNAcentral